CCCUCAAGACGGGGAUAACGGAUGGAAACAUGCGCUAAUACCGGAUGACCUUACGAUGUCAGAAUGGUAAGGAAAGCUACGGCGCUUGAGGAGCGGUCUGCGGCCCAUCAGCUAGUUGGUAGGGUAAAGGCCUACCAAGGCGAAGACGGGUAGGGGGUGUGAGAGCACGGCCCCCCACAAUGGGACUGAGACACGGCCCAUACUCCUACGGGAGGCAGCAGCAGGGAAUAUUGCACAAUGGACGGAAGUCUGAUGCAGCGACGCCGCGUGAGUGAAGAAGGCCUUCGGGUUGUAAAACUCUUUUGAGGGGGAAGAGCGAGGACGGUACCCCUGGAAUAAGCGUCGGCUAACUACGUGCCAGCAGCCGCGGUAAGACGUAGGACGCGAGCGUUAUCCGGAUUUACUGGGCGUAAAGCGUCUGUAGGCGGAUGUGUAAGUUGGGCGUGAAAGCUCCGGGCUUAACCCGGAGAGGCCGUUCAAUACUGCAUAACUUGAGGGUGUCAGAGGGGAGCGGAAUUCCCGGUGUAGCGGUAAAAUGCGCAGAGAUCGGGAGGAACACCAGUGGCGGAGGCGGUUCCCUGGGGCACACCUGACGCUGAGAGACGAAAGCUAGGGGAGCGAACAGGAUUAGAGACCCUGGUAGUCCUAGCCCUAAAACGAUGAAUGCUAGGUGUGGGAUCGAAUGGUUCCGUGCCGGAGCGAACGCGAUUAAGCAUUCCGCCUGGGGAUGUACGGCCGCAAGGCAAAUCUCAAACGAAUUGAUUGGGCCCCGCAACAAGCAGCGGAGCGUGUGGUUUAAUUCGAUGCUACACGAAGAACCUUACCUGGGUCUGAAAAUGUAGGUGGUUAGUGAAUCGAAAGGUGAACGACCCUUCGGCGAGCAUACACAGGUGCUGCAUGGCUGUCGUCAGCUCGUGCCGUGAGGUGUCGGGUUAAGUCCCGUAACGAGCGCAACCCUUGCUCCUAGUUACAAGUGUCUAGGGGGACUGCCGCCGGAUAGCCGGAGGAAGGUGGGGAUGACGUCAAGUCAGCAUGGCCCUUAUAUCCAGGGCUAUACACACGCUACAAUGGUCGGUACAAAGGGCAGCGAAACCGCGAGGCGGAGCGAAUCCGAGAAAAGCCGAUCGUAGUUCGGAUAGCAGGCUGCAACCCGCCUGCUUGAAGCUG
RNAcentral lists this ribosomal RNA (1167 nucleotides) under uncultured organism. RNAcentral describes it as "bacterial SSU rRNA". It matches the Rfam family "Bacterial small subunit ribosomal RNA", at positions 129 to 1328 of the family's 1533-position model. The record is from RNAcentral.